UUAAAACCAGAUAUUAUGGAUUUCGAUGUUAAUCUAAGGAUGGACUGGUUACACUAUUGUUACCUUCCUUUAAUUGUUAGACUAGGAAUGUUGUUUUUAGGUUCCCUAGUGAAAAGGAUGUAGAGUGAGAGAGUGGUUCCCUAGCUCCUAGGGGAAGGUUUAUUUCUUAUCUUCGUGCUUGAAGAUUAACCUCUAAAGGGCGU
This 203-nucleotide long non-coding RNA is filed under the name Capsicum annuum. RNAcentral's name for it is "long non-coding RNA (CANN_LNC022150)". The record is from RNAcentral. Lineage: Eukaryota; Viridiplantae; Streptophyta; Magnoliopsida; Solanales; Solanaceae.